Orcinus orca (killer whale) is the source of this 1236-nucleotide long non-coding RNA. RefSeq lists it as uncharacterized. NCBI's taxonomy places the organism in Eukaryota, Metazoa, Chordata, Mammalia, Artiodactyla, Delphinidae. The transcript is spliced from 2 exons. The record is from RefSeq and is a predicted model, not a curated record.
GUGUGGGCCCUGCUUUGCGGCCCCCAAACUGUCCCCCUCCUGUAUCACAGGUGGAGGAUCCGGAGAAGUCAUCGGGGGUCCCCAGGCAGGCACAGACGCCCAGGCCUGUGGCAUCAGGGGCGGCCACAGAAGAGGCCAUGGGUUACAGACGGGGAGCCACCGGCAGUCCGAGUGAGUGUGGAAAUAACCCCACCGACACGCUGGACGUGCAGCAAGGGCCAGAAAUAAGGCCGGUUCUGAGAAGCCACUGAGAUCUCUGGGCUCGUUUGUUACCACAGCAUAACGUCUCAUCCUGACCAACAAGACAGACGUGCAGCAGUAUCUGGGGAGAAUGAAAAUGUACCGGCUCAAGCCCUGCGGUCUAGUGACUCCACGCCUGGAAGUAAACCCUGGAGCAGGGCUGGCAAACUAGCAUCUCCUUCCUGGUGGGGUUAUCAGCAUUUUUUUUUUUAACGAAAUAGAACAGAGCAGACCUGAGUACAAAGCCUGGAUUGAGAAUAUUAUUUCACAGAGCCUUGAUUUCAUUUAUAAACACACACACACAUACACACGCACACAUGUGUGCUGGGUCAUAAUGUGAAAUGUAUCUCUUUCUGGAAGUCACGAUCGACAGAACAAUUGGCCUGGACCUUUGCAAACAUCAUUGCCACAGAAGACAGAGAAAGGCUGAGGACCUUUCGGAUUAAAGGAGACUAAAGAUGUGACCAGUGAUGUAACGUGUGAUCCUGGGCUGGGUCCUGGGUCAGAAAAAACAAAUGCUGUACAGGACAUUACCGCGACAAACAGUGAAAUGAUUAUGGCUUGUAGAUCUGAUGAUAGUAUUGUAUCAAUGUUAAAUGUCCCAAUUUUGGCAAUUGUAAAUGUGGUUCUAGAAGAGAUGUUUUAGGUUUAGCUGUUAAACACCCUGAACUGUUACCAUUUAGGCAAAGAAGCAUGAUGAUGUCUGCAAGUAAUUCCCAAACGGUUUAAGGACAAAACAUACAUUUUCUAUUUAUAUAUAUUUAGGGGAAAUUUCAUAUAUAUACAUAUACUUUAGAAGGUGGAGGAGGGGGACUUCCCUGGUGGUCCAGUGGUUAAGACUCCGCGCUCCCAGUGCAGGGGGCCCGGCUUCGAUCCCUGUUCAGGGAACUAGAUCCCGCAUGCCGCGACUAAAGCUCCCACACUCGGCAGCGAAGAUCCUGCGUGCCGCAACUAAGACCCAGCGCAGCCAAAUAAAUAAAUACAUAUUUUUAAAAA